This 348-nucleotide long non-coding RNA is filed under the name Olea europaea subsp. europaea. The record is from RNAcentral. Lineage: Eukaryota; Viridiplantae; Streptophyta; Magnoliopsida; Lamiales; Oleaceae.
UCCUUGCAAAGGGCAUGAUUACACAAAUCAUCAAUACCUUUGAGUGAGAUAAGAGUAGGACACACAACAUUUGACUGAGAGGUAUCGGGAACAAGGGGUACAAUACCUAAACUCAUAGAAAAAGUUCGAAUACUAUCUAAGGGGGUAUCCUCCCUAUCAUCCAAGUCAUCAAAUUCUUCAAGUUUAGGUUCAUAGAUUUGAUUUUCUAAUCGCUCAUCUCUCAUAUUCUUUUGCUCUUCAAUGAAUAAGGCUCAGUUAGAACAUUCAGAAGAGAUGUGUCCAAAGUCCUUAUAGUUGAAGCACUGCAAAUGAGAAGAAGUUAUUGAAGUUUCAAAAUCUUGACCUUUA